RNAcentral lists this long non-coding RNA (835 nucleotides) under Vigna radiata. RNAcentral describes it as "long non-coding RNA (VRAD_LNC008765)". Lineage: Eukaryota; Viridiplantae; Streptophyta; Magnoliopsida; Fabales; Fabaceae. The record is from RNAcentral.
UCCAGUAGAGGAGAGUACACGGUGGUCUCUUGGUUCAAAAUGAGAUGCAUUAAUUGAUUGGAGAUGGGGAACAGCACAUGGAACGGCUAGGGAUGUCCAGGGGAGGGCAAUUUGAUUUCAUCAAAUAUUUCUUUUACUUUUUUUAGCAUUUAGUUUCUUUGCUUGAAGAAGGUGAUGACACGGCAAGGAGAGAAACAAGUUUUCUAGGUGCCAAAUUUUCUUAAAUUUAUGCCACAUAUAGUUGUCACGUUUCUUUCUUUUUAUUCCACAAGUUUUCUUUUUUUUUUUCUUGUCUUUGAAAGGAGUAGCUGCACAGAUAGAAAGAAGCGUUGCUGCAAUUUUAUUUGGAGAAAACCAUUUUAACUUCUUUGCUUUUGGUAAAAAUUUUAAUUCUCGCUGCAUGUGAUUUUCCUUAUUAGCCUAAUGUUGCAUCUAGUACCACCAGAUACAUUGUCUUAUUUAUUUCUUUCCUUCAAGUUAUUCACACACUUUGGCAUUUAGUUUCAUGCAUACUGCACGGUCCUUAUAAUGCUUUGCAUUCCAAUCCAGUAUUUUCAUUUAUUUUCAGUGUUUUCAAUUAUGUUUGGUUGUGAUUAAUUUCCAGUUUUAAUUUAAUUUAAUUCUCCUUGCAAAAACACUCUCAAUCCCCCCUACUUUGUGUUAGACCUAAGAUCGAACCACAGUUUGGUCCUUGAGAGACGACCUAGGGGUCAUUCCCUAGCACUAUACUGCAUUUCUAAAUUGCAAUCAAAUUUGCAUGGGUCGUGGUUUGUAGCUUCUUAUCCAUAUUUAUCCUCCCUUUUCCUUGGCCCCAUUACAUCCAUAAAAGACCUUU